AUUGAACGCUGGCGGCAUGCUUUACACAUGCAAGUCGAACGGUAACAGGGUGCUUGCACCGCUGACGAGUGGCGAACGGGUGAGUAAUGCGUCGGAACGUGCCGAGUAGUGGGGGAUAACGCAGCGAAAGUUGUGCUAAUACCGCAUACGUACUGAGGUAGAAAGUGGGGGACCUUCGGGCCUCACGCUAUUCGAGCGGCCGACGUCUGAUUAGCUAGUAGGUGAGGUAAAGGCUCACCUAGGCGACGAUCAGUAGCGGGUCUGGGAGGAUGAAGCGCAGAAGUGGGACUGAGACACGGCCCAGACGCCGACGGGAGGCAGAAGUGGGGAAUUUUGGACAAUGGGCGAAAGCCUGAUCCAGCCAUGCCGCGUGUCUGAAGAAGGCCUUCGGGUUGUAAAGGACUUUUGUCAGGGAGGAAAUCCCUAGUGCUAAUAACACUGGGGGAUGACAGUACCUGAAGAAUAAGCACCGGCUAACUACGUGCCAGCCGCCGCCGUAA
Molecule: ribosomal RNA, 500 nt
Filed under: uncultured bacterium
Lineage: Bacteria
Description: partial 16S ribosomal RNA
Rfam family: Bacterial small subunit ribosomal RNA
Source: RNAcentral